UCCAUCGUGAGGUGGAAUCUGACGGAAGCUGGAGGCAAACUUUCGGCUCGAGGAACGCUCAUACCCGAUUCAGGAAACAAUGGAUGAAACC
Paenibacillus darwinianus is the source of this 91-nucleotide non-coding RNA. The record is from Rfam. NCBI's taxonomy places the organism in Bacteria, Bacillati, Bacillota, Bacilli, Caryophanales, Paenibacillaceae.